Quaeritorhiza haematococci is the source of this 73-nucleotide non-coding RNA. NCBI's taxonomy places the organism in Eukaryota, Fungi, Chytridiomycota, Chytridiomycetes, Quaeritorhizaceae. The record is from the annotation of a GenBank genome assembly.
GCCCGGGUAGCGUAGUGGAUAUCGCGUCGGCCUCCUAAGCCGAAGGUCCUGGGUUCGACCCCCAGCUCGGGUG